GCGUCCGUAGCUCAGCUGGAUAGAGUACCUGGCUACGAACCAGGCGGUCAGAGGUUCGAA
This 60-nucleotide transfer RNA is filed under the name Vibrio cholerae HC-37A1. RNAcentral describes it as "partial tRNA-Arg". It matches the Rfam family "tRNA", at positions 1 to 57 of the family's 71-position model. Rfam says of the family: Transfer RNA (tRNA) molecules are approximately 80 nucleotides in length. Their secondary structure includes four short double-helical elements and three loops (D, anti-codon, and T loops). Further hydrogen bonds mediate the characteristic L-shaped molecular structure. tRNAs have two regions of fundamental functional importance: the anti-codon, which is responsible for specific mRNA codon recognition, and the 3' end, to which the tRNAs corresponding amino acid is attached (by aminoacyl-tRNA synthetases). tRNAs cope with the degeneracy of the genetic code in two manners: having more than one tRNA (with a specific anti-codon) for a particular amino acid; and 'wobble' base-pairing, i.e. permitting non-standard base-pairing at the 3rd anti-codon position. RNAcentral also lists the same sequence under 2 other names. Lineage: Bacteria; Pseudomonadati; Pseudomonadota; Gammaproteobacteria; Vibrionales; Vibrionaceae. The record is from RNAcentral.